Long non-coding RNA from Coregonus clupeaformis (lake whitefish), 1958 nucleotides. RefSeq lists it as uncharacterized. NCBI's taxonomy places the organism in Eukaryota, Metazoa, Chordata, Actinopteri, Salmoniformes, Salmonidae. The record is from RefSeq and is a predicted model, not a curated record. The transcript is spliced from 4 exons.
UGUGGUUUGUCAGACGCAAAUGUGACCUACUGUAUGUCUCUAUCCCUCUCACUGAAUUGACCUCAAAUAUAGGCUACUAUCCCUCUCACUGAAUUGACCUCAAAUAUAGGCUAGGCACUAUUCCGUGAAGUCUGUAAUAAGCAAAUGGCUGAAUCAAAGAUGAAUAGCCUACUGCAUAGUUGAACAAAAAAGGUGGGAGUUAUAGAAUUAGGCGCAUAAUUAAAUUGAGUCAUGGUUUAACAGUGUUGACAACGUCAAAUCCUGAGGCAAUAUCGCCUGCAUCUUUGCACUGGAUGAAGGAACAAGUAUUUAUUCUAGCUGAGGGGUAUUCAAAUCAUUGAGGGGUCAUUGCAAAUCAGGGGAGUUGGGCAGCAAUCACAAAUUGUUAUCAUAAAAAUCAAGAGUUUUUAUUAUGCGUUUCAUUGAUCACUGACAGUUAUCACACUUCUGAUACCAGUGUAACCCAUUCAUAGACACUACCAUUAGCGCCUAUUGAUGAUAGUACUGUAUCUUCUGAUCUGAGGUUUUGUCAAGGGCUUCGACGCUCGUUCUGAACGUUAAAACGCAUCGCUUGUGGUACCGUUUUGGAGAUCAGCCAGAAAUACUAAAAAUAAAUAAAAAAGGUUAAAGGGUUAGUGUUCGCACAGGGUCAUAUCUCCAUGUUACUUACAGUGCUUGUUUACGGAAGACAUAGGCAGCCACCUGUGCUAAUUAGUAUGCUCUGAAAACCUGUGUGUAAACUAACUGGGGAGGAAGUGCAGUUCCUAAACAGCGUAUGGAUCUGUGUCAAACUGCUACACAUGUUAUGGUACUAAAGUCGGGCACAGAUCCUGAAGCUGCAGUGCACAGUGCCGAAACACAGGACUGUACAGCUGCACAUUUUUUGUGAAGACAUCGUCAGCAGACUAUCCAACAAUUGUGACUCAUUUACAGUCACAAUAAAACAGUGGUGAGAUAUGGAGGUUUCAUUGGUGGCAGGUGUGGCCCUAGCCUGUCAGUACCAGGGCAUCAACCAGGAGAUAGAUGUAGAGAUCAGGAAGGUGAUCAAGUAUGUGGCCCAGUUUGCGAUCUCUGACCCUGAGCCGCCAUGGGAUGACCUCUGCAACCACAUCUUCACCUGCGAACUGCCCAUGGAGGUCUGCGGGACCACCCCUGGGUCAAACUAAAGUCUGUCAGCUAGACACACACACACACACACACACACACACACACACACACACACACACCUGGACCAAACUACAGUCCAUCAGCUACACAUCCCUUCCGACCUUCUGAGACACCAACCCCUGGGUGAAAGUCUACUCCUCCUUUCCUCUUCUCCUUCUCUCAUUCCAUUUUCUCUCAUUAGUUCUCUAAACUCACAAUAGGAUAUGCGAUUGUGACCCUGUAGGUCAGAGUUCAGUCAGUAGCAGCAUUCCAAACCAUUUAAUCACCUCUGACCCUAUGAUGUCACUAGUAUUUAUUCACAAUAUGUACUGUAUAGCGUAUAAUAUGUAAUUUUAUGUCAGAGUUGGUAUGUAUUCUACUGAUACUGAGGGAUCUGUCUGUGAAUGGGAGGUGAAUUGCAUUGGGCAGGCUUUUGUACCAGCCCAGCACUAACACACCUGAUUCAACAUAUCAACCUGCGCUAAACCAAGUACUACUCUCUGUUUUUAAGGUUUAUGACUGUUUGUAUGUAUUACGUUCCUCUGACCCAGAUGCUAUUGUUGCACUUUUACUAGAUAAACUUAAGAGACACCAGACUGAAAGUAAUAAUGUCAUCAUAGGAAAUGGGAAUGGCAAUGGUCGUUUUUUUGUCUACUGCUCUCUUCCUCUCCUUCUCUUCCUCUUUCUCUGACUCCCUCCUUCUCUGAUCCAAACACUAUGAAACUGAAGCAUCUGCGUGAACUGAAAGACUAAAAGAUUGUAAUACAGUUUGGAGUGAUUUGACUGAAGCAAUAAAGUUGGCUAAGACUUUG